This is a long non-coding RNA of Zootermopsis nevadensis, 485 nucleotides long. RefSeq lists it as uncharacterized. Lineage: Eukaryota; Metazoa; Arthropoda; Insecta; Blattodea; Termopsidae. The record is from RefSeq and is a predicted model, not a curated record.
AAAUGUCUUAUAGUGAUUCCGAUACUACGGUCCGCUGAGCUACGAGUGGCCUUUGAGUUUCAUUCACUUAGUGCGAGGAUGAAGUCGGAUCACAAAAAAUAUUGAAAUAAAAUUAAUGAAUGUACAUAAGCAAGUUGUACACGAGUUGUUAGACGCUUGUGGAAUAAACGUUCUUUUGACUUCGACUCCCGGCUUGCGGACAGAGAUUCGAACUCCGAAUAUCCCGUCCAAAAUACGAAGUAGUAGCGCUAACUGCAAAAUGAGAAGGAACUGCAUCGAACUCUGACCCCGAGACAUCCCACGCUGAACGCGGGAAUUCAAAAAUAAUUUUCAAAUAACAUCGAAUGAACUUCAUUUAGAAUUAAUGUGAAGUAAAUUUCAAUAUCUGACCUAAAUGAAUUAAAUAUGUAUCAGGUAUCAAGCCACUUUGACCUCAACACUGCCUCUACAGUAAAUCUUAGAAUAUUAAGUGAGAGUAACUGCUU